RNAcentral lists this transfer RNA (73 nucleotides) under Neotoma lepida (desert woodrat). It matches the Rfam family "tRNA". From Rfam's summary of the family: Transfer RNA (tRNA) molecules are approximately 80 nucleotides in length. Their secondary structure includes four short double-helical elements and three loops (D, anti-codon, and T loops). The record is from Rfam by way of RNAcentral. Lineage: Eukaryota; Metazoa; Chordata; Mammalia; Rodentia; Cricetidae.
GCCCGGCUAGCUCAGUCGGUAGAGCAUAAGAUUCUUAAUCUCAGGAUCGUGAGUUUGUGUCCCACAUUGGGAG